This 468-nucleotide ribosomal RNA is filed under the name uncultured bacterium. Its description in RNAcentral is "partial 16S ribosomal RNA". It matches the Rfam family "Bacterial small subunit ribosomal RNA", at positions 28 to 507 of the family's 1533-position model. The record is from RNAcentral.
GACGAACGCUGGCGGCGUGCUUAACACAUGCAAGUCGAACGGAAAGGCCCUGCUUUUGUGGGGUGCUCGAGUGGCGAACGGGUGAGUAACACUUGAGUAACCUGCCCUUGACUUUGGGAUAACUUCAGGAAACUGGGGCUAAUACCCUAUAUGAGCUCCUGCUGCAUGGGGGGGGUUGGUACGUUUCGGCGGUUGGGGAUGGACUCGCGGCUUAUCAUCUUGUGGGUGGGGUAGGGGCUUACCAAGGCUUUGACGGGUAGCCGGCCUGAGAGGGUGGACGGCGCCAAGGGGACUGAGAUAGGGACCAGACAAGAAUGGGAGGCAAAAGGGGGGAAUAUUGCGGAAAGGGGGGAAGUCUAAGAAAAAAACGGGGAGGGCGGGAAGACGGCCUUUGGGUUGGAAACAGGUUUCGGAUGUGAUGAAGGGAGAGUGACGGUAAUGGGUAAAGAAGCACCGGCUAACUACGUG